AUGCUCACUUCCGCAGCACAUAUACUAAAACUGGAACAAUACAGAGAAGAUUAGCAUGGCCCCUGGGCAAGAAUGAGAAUGUCUUGAGAAUUUCAAAGAAAAA
Small nuclear RNA from Ochotona curzoniae (black-lipped pika), 103 nucleotides. Lineage: Eukaryota; Metazoa; Chordata; Mammalia; Lagomorpha; Ochotonidae. The record is from RefSeq and is a predicted model, not a curated record.